RNAcentral lists this ribosomal RNA (497 nucleotides) under uncultured bacterium. RNAcentral's name for it is "partial 16S ribosomal RNA". It matches the Rfam family "Bacterial small subunit ribosomal RNA", at positions 28 to 507 of the family's 1533-position model. The record is from RNAcentral.
GAUGAACGCUGGCGGCGUGCCUAAUACAUGCAAGUCGAGCGAACAGACGAGGAGCUUGCUCCUCUGACGUUAGCGGCGGACGGGUGAGUAACACGUGGAUAACCUCCCUAUAAGACUGGGAUAACUUCGGGAAACCGGAGCUAAUACCGGAUAAUAUAUUGAACCGCAUGGUUCAAUAGUGAAAGACGGUUUUGCUGUCACUUAUAGAUGGAUCCGCGCCGCAUUAGCGAGUUGGUAAGGUAACGGCUUACCAAGGCAACGAUGCGUAGCCGACCUGAGAGGGUGAUCGGCCACACUGGAACUGAGACACGGUCCACACUCCUACGGGAGGCAGCAGUAGGGAACCUCGCGCAAUGGGCGAAAGCCUGUCGGAGCAACGCCGCGUGAAUGAUGAAGGUCUUCGGAUCUUAAAACUCUGUUAUUAGGGAAGAUCAAAUGUGUAAGUAACUAUGCACGCCUUGACGGUACCUAAGCAGAAAGCCACGGCUAACUACGUG